RNAcentral lists this ribosomal RNA (253 nucleotides) under uncultured bacterium. RNAcentral describes it as "partial 16S ribosomal RNA". It matches the Rfam family "Bacterial small subunit ribosomal RNA", at positions 524 to 776 of the family's 1533-position model. The record is from RNAcentral.
UACAGAGGUCUCAAGCGUUGUUCGGAUUCAUUGGGCGUAAAGGGUGCGUAGGUGGCGGGGUAAGUCGGGUGUGAAAUCUCGGGGCUUAACUCCGAAACUGCAUUCGAUACUGCCGUGCUUGAGGACUGGAGAGGAGACUGGAAUUGCCGGUGUAGUGGUGAAAUGCGUAGAGAUCGGCAGGAACACCCAGGGGGAAACCAGCCGACUGGGCAUCUACUGACGCUGAGGUGCGAGAGCGUGGGGAGCGAACCGG